This is a non-coding RNA of Podarcis lilfordi (Lilford's wall lizard), 70 nucleotides long. Lineage: Eukaryota; Metazoa; Chordata; Lepidosauria; Squamata; Lacertidae. The record is from the annotation of a GenBank genome assembly.
GAUAUGUCUCAGUCAGUGGAGCAUGAGACGCUCAAUCUCAAGGUCGUGGGUUUGAGCCCCGUGUUGGGCA